GAUGAGCGCUGGCGGCGUGCUUAACACAUGCAAGUCGAACGGAAAGGCUCCUGCUUGCAGGGGUACUCGAGUGGCGAACGGGUGAGUAACACGUGGGUGAUCUGCCCUGCACUUCGGGAUAAGCCUGGGAAACUGGGUCUAAUACCGGAUAGGACGAUGGUUUGGAUGCCAUUGUGGAAAGUUUUUUCGGUGUGGGAUGAGCUCGCGGCCUAUCAGCUUGUUGGUGGGGUAAUGGCCUACCAAGGCGUCGACGGGUAGCCGGCCUGAGAGGGUGUACGGCCACAUCGGGACUGAGAUACGGCCCAGACUCCUACGGGAGGCAGCAGUGGGGAAUAUUGCACAAUGGGCGCAAGCCUGAUGCAGCGACGCCGCGUGGGGGAUGACGGCCUUCGGGUUGUAAACUCCUUUCGCUAGGGACGAAGCGCAAGUGACGGUACCUGGAGAAGAAGCACCGGCUAACUACGUG
This 466-nucleotide ribosomal RNA is filed under the name uncultured bacterium. Its description in RNAcentral is "partial 16S ribosomal RNA". It matches the Rfam family "Bacterial small subunit ribosomal RNA", at positions 28 to 507 of the family's 1533-position model. The record is from RNAcentral.